GGGCGCGUGGCGGAACUGGCAGACGCGUACGGCUUAGGACCGUAUGAGGCAACUUGUGGAGGUUCAACUCCUCUCGCGCCCA
RNAcentral lists this transfer RNA (82 nucleotides) under Elusimicrobia bacterium RIFOXYA2_FULL_40_6. RNAcentral describes it as "tRNA-Leu". It matches the Rfam family "tRNA". From Rfam's summary of the family: Transfer RNA (tRNA) molecules are approximately 80 nucleotides in length. Their secondary structure includes four short double-helical elements and three loops (D, anti-codon, and T loops). Lineage: Bacteria; Pseudomonadati; Elusimicrobiota. The record is from RNAcentral.